Molecule: ribosomal RNA, 464 nt
Filed under: uncultured bacterium
Lineage: Bacteria
Description: bacterial SSU rRNA
Rfam family: Bacterial small subunit ribosomal RNA
Source: RNAcentral
GGGCCCGCACAAGCGGUGGAGCAUGUGGUUCAAUUCGACGCAACGCGAAGAACCUUACCCAGGCUCGAACGGCAUUGGACAUCCUGCGAAAGCAGGCUCCCGCAAGGGCCGAUGUCGAGGUGCUGCAUGGCUGUCGUCAGCUCGUGUCGUGAGAUGUUGGGUUAAGUCCCGCAACGAGCGCAACCCUUGUCCGCUGUUGCCAUCAGGUUACGCUGGGCACUCUGCGGAGACUGCCGGUGAUAAACCGGAGGAAGGUGGGGAUGACGUCAAGUCAGCAUGGCCUUUAUGUCUGGGGCUACACACGUGCUACAAUGGCCGGUACAAACCGUCGCGAUCUCGCAAGAGGGAGCUAAUCGGAGAAAACCGGUCUCAGUUCGGAUUGCAGGCUGCAACUCGCCUGCAUGAAGUUGGAAUCGCUAGUAAUCGCGGAUCAGCACGCCGCGGUGAAUACGUUCCCGGGCCUU